GGAGAGGUCGCAUAGUUGGCCUAGUGCGCGCGCUUGGAAAGCGCGUAUACCGAAAGGUAUCGAGGGUUCGAAUCCCUCCCUCUCCG
This 86-nucleotide transfer RNA is filed under the name Leptolinea tardivitalis. It matches the Rfam family "tRNA". Rfam says of the family: Transfer RNA (tRNA) molecules are approximately 80 nucleotides in length. Their secondary structure includes four short double-helical elements and three loops (D, anti-codon, and T loops). RNAcentral also lists the same sequence under 1 other name. The record is from Rfam by way of RNAcentral. Lineage: Bacteria; Bacillati; Chloroflexota; Anaerolineae; Anaerolineales; Anaerolineaceae.